CACGUAGUUAGCCGUCCCUUUCUGGUAAGAUACCGUCACAGUGUGAACUUUCCACUCUCACACUCGUUCUUCUCUUACAACAGAGCUUUACGAUCCGAAAACCUUCUUCACUCACGCGGCGUUGCUCGGUCAGACUUCCGUCCAUUGCCGAAGACUUCCCUACUGCUGCCCUCCCGUAGGAGUCGUGGGCCGUGUCUCACGUCCCAGUGUGGCCGAUCCACCCUCUCGAGGUCGGCUAUGUAUCGUCGCCUUGGUGAGCCCGUUACCCCACCAACUAGCUAAUACAACGCAGGUCCAUCUGGUAGUGAUGCAAUUGCUACCUUUUAAGACAAAUGUCAUGCAACAUCUACUAUUAUGCGGUAUAGCUAUUCGUUUCCAAUAGUUACUCCCCCGCUACCGAGGCAGGUUACCUACGUCGUUACUCCUACCCGUUCGACAACUCACUCCAGAAGAGCAAGCUCCUCCUUCAGUCGUUCUACUUGCAUGUAUUGGCACGCCGCCAGCGUUCGUCCG
RNAcentral lists this ribosomal RNA (513 nucleotides) under uncultured Streptococcaceae bacterium. RNAcentral's name for it is "partial 16S ribosomal RNA". Lineage: Bacteria; Bacillati; Bacillota; Bacilli; Lactobacillales; Streptococcaceae. The record is from RNAcentral.